CAAUAGAAUAGUCAUAUGAGCACUUAUUGGUUUUGUUGCAUUUGUUGCAAUGCUUUUCAGCCAAUAGCCAAAAAAAUUUUCAUGAAAGUUGGGUCACAUCCAGCUGACAAAGUGUUUUGAACUGUAUGUGAUUGUCAUGAGUAGUAUGUCCCCAUAUUGUUUAGCUUUGGCAGAAGGACCAUCUGAUGAAGACAAGUCGGGAGGACCAACUGUUGGACGAGUUACCCAAUUCAUUCCAGAGAUUGUCCUGUCUGAAGAUGAGUGCAAGGAAGCGAUGUCACUGAUGAAACAUUCGGCUGACGUGGACAUGGUCAUCAAAAAGAUGAAGCUGACGCUUGCCCAUCGGCAUAACAUGGUCCUGGACCCACAGCAGUCAAGCAACAUUCUAUCUUAUUUUCCUCGUUUUAAAGACAUCAAAGGCUUGGUUGAACAGGAUUUUGUUCUAAUGUUUGGAGAGGAUGAAUCGGGCAAGUUUGUGGAGAAGUGGCCAACCACAUUCAAAAAGAAGAUCAUCCAACAAUGCAGAAAGCUUCCCUCCAUCACUGAGCUUGAGGAACUCCUGAUGGCAGCUGACCUUCCUGAGGAUGGGGGCUGAAGUGAACGUUGACUUUGGUUGGGACAGUGACCUCUCAUCCAUUUUGCUGCUCUUACACUUGAUCCCACCGACUGCUCUAGGUCGGAAGAGGCCAGGAAAAGUUUCUGCAUCCCGGGCUGAGAAGCAUCUUGUGGUCUUCAAGAAGCAUGGCCCAAAACCGGUCAAUCCUUGCUUCCUGAGGAAGACCUUCACUGCCAAGCACUUGGUACUCCACUACUUCUUCCCGGAGGCUAUCCAGGUCCAAUCGCAGCUGCGGCUUGGAACUUACAAGCGUAUUUCUUCAUCUUACUUAAUGUCGAAUAAAUUAUGUUUU
This is a long non-coding RNA of Entelurus aequoreus (snake pipefish), 908 nucleotides long. RefSeq lists it as uncharacterized. Lineage: Eukaryota; Metazoa; Chordata; Actinopteri; Syngnathiformes; Syngnathidae. The transcript has 4 exons. The record is from RefSeq and is a predicted model, not a curated record.